Molecule: ribosomal RNA, 351 nt
Filed under: uncultured soil bacterium
Lineage: Bacteria
Description: bacterial SSU rRNA
Rfam family: Bacterial small subunit ribosomal RNA
Source: RNAcentral
AGAUUGAACGCUGGCGGCAUGCUUUACACAUGCAAGUCGAACGGUAACAGGCCGCAAGGUGCUGACGAGUGGCGAACGGGUGAGUAAUGUAUCGGAACGUGCCCAGUCGUGGGGGAUAACGCAGCGAAAGCUGCGCUAAUACCGCAUACGAUCUAUGGAUGAAAGCGGGGACCGUAAGGCCUCGCGCGAUUGGAGCGGCCGAUAUCAGAUUAGGUAGUUGGUGGGGUAAAGGCUCACCAAGCCAACGAUCUGUAGCUGGUCUGAGAGGACGACCAGCCACACUGGGACUGAGACACGGCCCAGACUCCUACGGGAGCAGCAGUGGGGAAUUUUGGACAAUGGGCGAAGACG